This 59-nucleotide transfer RNA is filed under the name Mesocricetus auratus (golden hamster). It matches the Rfam family "tRNA". Rfam says of the family: Transfer RNA (tRNA) molecules are approximately 80 nucleotides in length. Lineage: Eukaryota; Metazoa; Chordata; Mammalia; Rodentia; Cricetidae. The record is from Rfam by way of RNAcentral.
GGGGCUGUGGCUCAGCAGUUAAGAGCACUAGGACCUGGGUUCAAUUCCCAGCACUCACA